AACGCACAUUGCGCCCUUUGGCAUUCCGAAGGGCAUACCUAUUCGAGCGUCAUUAUCACCCCUCAAGCUCGGCUUGUUGUUGGACGUCGAUGGCCGUAUAUCGGUCACCCACCCCAAAGAUAAUGACGGCGUCUGUGAGGACUCCAGUACACUAAGCUUCUUCGGAGCACGUAUUAGCUAGAAGUCCAGACCCGGUCUUACCUAUUAUUUUUAUAAAGUUGACCUCGGAUCAGAUAGGGAUACCCGCUGAACUUAA
RNAcentral lists this unclassified non-coding RNA (256 nucleotides) under uncultured fungus. RNAcentral's name for it is "partial contains 5.8S ribosomal RNA, internal transcribed spacer 2, and large subunit ribosomal RNA". The record is from RNAcentral. Lineage: Eukaryota; Fungi.